Strigops habroptila (Kakapo) is the source of this 1670-nucleotide long non-coding RNA. The record is from Ensembl. NCBI's taxonomy places the organism in Eukaryota, Metazoa, Chordata, Aves, Psittaciformes, Psittacidae.
UUUUUUUUCUUUUCUUUUCUUUCUUUUUUUUUUUUGGUUGGUUUAGUUUCGGUUUGGUUUUUUUUUAACUCCUGUAGUAACAGUGAAUGUUAGAUUUAUUUAUUUUUUUCUUUUGCUAAAGUUGAAACACAGAAAAAAAGUAUUAAUAUGGUUUUUUCCUCUCCUUUAGUGAUGUCUCAUACAACUCAGGCACUCAGAUAACAGUGAUAAACUUAACAGAGGUGCCUGUCAGUUGUAGUAUGUGGAUAAAUAAAAUGAGCCCCCUAGACUGGGUUGCCAUAGCGGUUCAGCAAUAAAUAGGGCAUCUUAAAACCUGAGCAAAGUGGGAUCACAUUGGCUAUAAAAAGUAUGAGGAAAAGUGUGCAUAAAAGAUGGAAGGCAGAGAUACAUAAACAACUGAUCCAACGGAGUUACCUGUGGGAACUCCAACACUAUCUUAUGGACACUAAAAGAACACUGGAGGUAAUAUGGUAGUAUUACACAUCAGCGGAUAAUCAUCUGCUGAUACUAUAUGUACAGUAGACAUACGGAAUGACCAGUUUACAUUCUUGCAGAUUGUUUGAUCUUUUCCUUUUGAAACCUCUUAACUAAACUUUGCACUGUCAGUUGAGCUAUACUCGAUACAUGUACUAGGUUAACAUUGUGUGUUGGAAGCUUUUGAUCUGUUCUUUCUCCUUCUUAAUUUGUAUGUGUGCGUGUGUGUGUUGGGCUUUGAUCUGAAAAGUCUCAUAGAGAUUUUUAUGUCUGUGGAGAAGGAUUCUAAUAAUUAAUAGCACAGGAUUCCCUGCCAUUAAAUUCAGGUAGUAAAUGCACAGUUACUAGACAGUAAACGUUCAGUGGACCAAAGGGGGAUUUUGGCUAAGCUGUCACAGCAGCACAAAGACAAAACAAAAUGGUUACGUCUCUAAAAAUUUUACUGAAGAUGAACUCCUAGCAGCCCCACACAUGACACUGCAGCUCUGCAAAAAGCUUUUUCACACUAUAAAGUACCUAAUACUGCUUGUAAGUCAGUUGUUUUAUACAAAGGACAGGGAGUUUAGAACCAUGCUAAGUGCAUCUGGAGGAUUCUGAUUUCUGCCUUGUAUAUGUUACACUUUUAGUUAGAGUAAUGCUAAGAAUUCCCAUGGAAACUGUGUCGAGGUACAUUAAAAGCCUCUUCCCAUUUUUCCUGGAAAAACAACAAAGAAAGAAAAAACAACAGCAUAUCAUGUUGCUCUGAUCAAACUGUCAAUUACUAUAAAUUAACUUUGAGCGGGGUUUUUUUUACACCUUUCACCAACAUGGGAGAGAAACUACGGUACUACUGAACCUCAGCUCCUCUGAAGCUGGACACUAGCUAGUGAGAACAGUGCUAACCAGAGAGUCAAGGCUUUCUAUUCUCCUUUAAAAUUGACAUAGUCUAGAAAAUAAAACUUAGUUAAUCCACCUAUGAGUCCAAAGUUAAGAGUGAAAAAGACAACAAGUAAUCAUGCUGUAUGCUGGGAUGUCAAGGAAUACAGUCUGCUGUUACAAACCUGUGUUUUUUCUGAUAAUUCUAGAGCCUGUUACCAUAAAAGAGGCAUUUCUUGAAUGGCUGGUGGUAGGUAGUUCAUGUUUUUCAAUCCGAUUUGCAAUUGUAUUUGUUGCUGUAUAGUGAUUGUUUUGCAAAAUAAAAUCGCUUGUCAUCUAAA